Molecule: ribosomal RNA, 305 nt
Filed under: uncultured bacterium
Lineage: Bacteria
Description: bacterial SSU rRNA
Rfam family: Bacterial small subunit ribosomal RNA
Source: RNAcentral
UCCUACGGGACGCAGCAGUGGGGAAUAUUGCACAAUGGGGGAAACCCUGAUGCAGCGACGCCGCGUGAGCGAUGAAGUAUCUCGGUAUGUAAAGCUCUAUCAGCAGGGAAGAAAGCGACAGUACCUGACUAAGAAGCCCCGGCUAACUACGCGCCAGCAGCCGCGGUAAUACGUAGGGGGCAAGCGUUAUCCGGAUUUACUGGGUGUAAAGGGAGCGUAGACGGCGGAACAAGUCAGAAGUGAAAACCCGGGGCUCAACCCUGGGAGUGCUUUUGAAACUGUUUGGCUGGAGUGCAGGAGAGGUA